RNAcentral lists this RNase P RNA (131 nucleotides) under Desulfobacterales bacterium. Its description in RNAcentral is "partial RNase P RNA component class A". It matches the Rfam family "Bacterial RNase P class A", at positions 1 to 133 of the family's 367-position model. From Rfam's summary of the family: Ribonuclease P (RNase P) is a ubiquitous endoribonuclease, found in archaea, bacteria and eukarya as well as chloroplasts and mitochondria. Its best characterised activity is the generation of mature 5'-ends of tRNAs by cleaving the 5'-leader elements of precursor-tRNAs. Lineage: Bacteria; Pseudomonadati; Thermodesulfobacteriota; Desulfobacteria; Desulfobacterales. The record is from RNAcentral.
AGAGCAGGCUAAACGAUCGCUCGCGUCUUGGCGGACGCGGGAGGAAAGUCCGAGCUCCAAAGGGCAGGGUGCUCCGUAACACGGAGUCGCGGUGACGCGAAGGAAAGUGCCACAGAAAAGAUACCGCCCUG